This 676-nucleotide long non-coding RNA is filed under the name Ganoderma lucidum. RNAcentral's name for it is "long non-coding RNA (GLUC_LNC000022)". Lineage: Eukaryota; Fungi; Basidiomycota; Agaricomycetes; Polyporales; Polyporaceae. The record is from RNAcentral.
UGCGCCCAGCCGUCUCGGGGAACAUGAAGAAGAUGUGGAUGAACGCGGCAAAGUUGAACGUCCCGAAGAUGAAGUACGUCUUCCACGCGAUGUUCGACAGGCCCGGCGGCACCGCGUACGCGAGCGCAAAGUUGAACAGCCAGUUCGCGCUCGUCGACAUCGAGACCGCCUUCGCGCGCACGCGCAUCGGGAAGAUCUCCGCAGGGUACGUCCACGAGACGGGCCCCAUCGUGAUCGCGAACGAGCAGACGAAGAAGUACGAGAACACGAUGACCGCCUUCGUGAUCCCGUCGUGGCCCGUGAUCAUCCACACGGGCUCGUUGUCGACCGUGCCCCACGCGCCGUAAGUGCCCUGGAGGCCGCCGACGAGGAAGAGCCAGAUGCCCAUGAGGAGCGUGCCGGCGAGCAGCAUCGGGCGGCGGCCCCACUUGUCGAUGUAGAUGAUCGCGGGGAUGGUGAACACGACGUUGAGCACGUACUGGACCGCGUCGGCGAUGAGGUUGCCGCGGCGGCCGGUGAGGCCCGCGCCCUGGAAGACGUAGAUGAUGUAGUACAUCAUGAUGUUCAUGCCCGAGAGCUGCGACCACAUCUGGAGCGAGGCCCCGAGCGUGACGCGGCGGAAGAUGCCGGGCUUGAAGAGGUCGAGGUACGACUUGGCGCCCUCGGUGCGCUCGAA